RNAcentral lists this long non-coding RNA (829 nucleotides) under Equus caballus (horse). RNAcentral describes it as "lncRNA (ENSECAG00000041237.2)". Lineage: Eukaryota; Metazoa; Chordata; Mammalia; Perissodactyla; Equidae. The record is from RNAcentral.
CUCCCUCCUCAGGGCUCCUCAGGAUGUGUUCUGUGAACCAGCGCACUGGACUUGUUGAAGAGGCAGAUUUCUAGGUUCCGCCCUGGAAUCCCCGGACACACAGACUUGGAGCAAGUCCUCACACAUUGUCCAUGUUUGAAAUUUUCCAAAAGGAAACGUUGCUGGGAGAGAAGGACGCUGCCUGUCCCCUCUCCCUCUUUCCAUCCUCCCCCUGACUGGGAGGCGGGAGGAGCCAGCGACAGCCUUGCCUUAGAGAGGAGGAAACCGCGUCUUGGAAGCACAGGCCCCAGUGUUGUUUGUCAGAAGCUGCAUCCUUGCCUUCUCAGCAAUCGUGGCGAACGAUACGAUUUCAAGGGACGAUCCUUUCCUGACUCCAGGGCAGUGUCUCUCUGAUGGCGAAGGUCACCCAAAGAGGAAACCAUCGCAUCUGACACCUUCUGUGCUUCUGGCUCCCCUGAGGGGCACGCCUUUGGUUGCAGCUCAGACUCUCACCUCCAGGCUGUCCCCACGGAUGCCCAGGGGCUGCGCCACCAGGAGCAGUGUGCCCGGAGGCCACAAGCACACCGCGCUCUCGGCUCAGCUUCAACCUGGAGACAGGCUCAGAGAGGAAAGCUCUUUUUCCGUCGCCUCCCUGGGGGCCUUGAGAAGACGUCCUCCUUGUUAGUGGUUCCCAAAUUGCCCUCUGUGUGGUUCUCAAGUCGGGGGUCUUGGAACAGCCUAGAGGGGUCUGCAAGAGGAUGGGGGCACCCAGCUCGGCUGGGGGUGAGAUGAAUGAAGGUCUCCCAUGGCAGUGUUGCUAUUUUUCAAGUAAAUGAGGUUGCUAUUGGGC